UAGGGAAUCUUCGGCAAUGGACGAAAGUCUGACCGAGCAACGCCGCGUGAGUGAAGAAGGUUUUCGGAUCGUAAAACUCUGUUGUUAGAGAAGAACAAGGACGUUAGUAACUGAACGUCCCCUGACGGUAUCUAACCAGAAAGCCACGGCUAACUACGUGCCAGCAGCCGCGGUAAUACGUAGGUGGCAAGCGUUGUCCGGAUUUAUUGGGCGUAAAGCGAGCGCAGGCGGUUUCUUAAGUCUGAUGUGAAAGCCCCCGGCUCAACCGGGGAGGGUCAUUGGAAACUGGGAGACUUGAGUGCAGAAGAGGAGGGUGGAAUUCCAUGUGUAGCGGUGAAAUGCGUAGAUAUAUGGAGGAACACCAGUGGCGAAGGCGGCUCACUGGUCUGUAACUGACGCUGGGGCUCGAAAGCGUGGGGAGCAAACAGG
This 429-nucleotide ribosomal RNA is filed under the name Gemmatimonadota bacterium. RNAcentral describes it as "Gemmatimonadetes bacterium partial 16S ribosomal RNA". It matches the Rfam family "Bacterial small subunit ribosomal RNA", at positions 355 to 776 of the family's 1533-position model. The record is from RNAcentral. Lineage: Bacteria; Pseudomonadati; Gemmatimonadota.